CGCAGGCGUAGGAAAUUUGAGAAGACCUGUCCUUAGUACGAGAGGACCGGGAUGGACGUACCUCUGGUGUACCAGUUGUUCUGCCAAGGGCAUGGCUGGGGAGCUAUGUACGGAAUGGAUAAGCGCUGAAAGCAUCUAAGCGCGAAGCCAACUUCAAGAUAAGAUUUCCCACCGCAAGGGUAAGACCCCAGAAAGACUAUCUGGUUGAUAGGUCGAAGGUGUAAGUGCAGCAAUGUAUUUAGCUUAUCGAUACUAAUAGGUCGAGGACUUGACCAAU
RNAcentral lists this ribosomal RNA (277 nucleotides) under Clostridioides difficile. Its description in RNAcentral is "partial 23S ribosomal RNA". It matches the Rfam family "Bacterial large subunit ribosomal RNA", at positions 2646 to 2925 of the family's 2925-position model. The record is from RNAcentral. Lineage: Bacteria; Bacillati; Bacillota; Clostridia; Peptostreptococcales; Peptostreptococcaceae.